UUAUUACUUUACAUGAAUUAUGUUCACAUUAUUAAUAUGAGUGUAUAAUUAUAAGACUAGCCAGUUAGUAGCUCAAGCUAGGUCGGCCUUUCGACAACUUGCUUAGUCCCUUUUUCUGGAAGUUGAGAACUGUGGUGAGGAUGCUAAUGCAUCCAUGGAAAAUAUAUCAAUGCAUGAUUCUCAUCUUCUUUCUUACACCUUUAAUUGACGGGCAAAGGUUAUUUUCAAAGCGAGGAAAAAUCUCCCAAAAAACCUGGGAUCAGUCAAUUCAGACGCAG
Molecule: long non-coding RNA, 278 nt
Organism: Eurytemora carolleeae
Lineage: Eukaryota; Metazoa; Arthropoda; Copepoda; Calanoida; Temoridae
Exons: 3
Source: RefSeq, a predicted model, not a curated record